GACGAACGCUGGCGGCGUGCCUAAUACAUGCAAGUAGAACGCUGAAGGAGGAGCUUGCUUCUCUGGAUGAGUUGCGAACGGGUGAGUAACGCGUAGGUAACCUGCCUGGUAGCGGGGGAUAACUAUUGGAAACGAUAGCUAAUACCGCAUAAGAGUAGAUGUUGCAUGACAUUUGCUUAAAAGGUGCAAUUGCAUCACUACCAGAUGGACCUGCGUUGUAUUAGCUAGUUGGUGAGGUAACGGCUCACCAAGGCGACGAUACAUAGCCGACCUGAGAGGGUGGUCGGCCAGACUGGGACUGAGACACGGCCCAGACUCCUACGGGAGGCAGCAGUAGGGAAUCUUCGGCAAUGGACGGAAGUCUGACCGAGCAACGCCGCGUGAGUGAAGAAGGUUUUCGGAUCGUAAAGCUCUGUUGUAAGAGAAGAACGAGUGUGAGAGUGGAAAGUUCACACUGUGACGGUAUCUUACCAGAAAGGGACGGCUAACUACGUG
Molecule: ribosomal RNA, 495 nt
Filed under: uncultured bacterium
Lineage: Bacteria
Description: partial 16S ribosomal RNA
Rfam family: Bacterial small subunit ribosomal RNA
Source: RNAcentral